This 93-nucleotide transfer RNA is filed under the name bacterium. Its description in RNAcentral is "tRNA-Sec". It matches the Rfam family "Selenocysteine transfer RNA". The record is from RNAcentral.
GGAAGAGGAUGGGGCCCGGUGGCUCUCGCGGACUUCAACUCCGUUGGCGGGUGUUCGCACUCGCGGUGGGUUCGACUCCUACCCCUUCCGCCA